UGCAGUCGGACGGGAUCCGUUGGUAGCUUGCUACCAAUGGUGAGAGUGGCGCACGGGUGCGUAACGCGUGAGCAACCUACCUCUAUCAGGGGGAUAGCCUCUCGAAAGAGAGAUUAACACCGCAUAACAUCAACAGUUCGCAUGUUCGGUUGAUUAAAUAUUUAUAGGAUAGAGAUGGGCUCGCGUGACAUUAGCUAGUUGGUAGGGUAACGGCUUACCAAGGCGACGAUGUCUAGGGGCUCUGAGAGGAGAAUCCCCCACACUGGUACUGAGACACGGACCAGACUCCUACGGGAGGCAGCAGUAAGGAAUAUUGGUCAAUGGGCGGAAGCCUGAACCAGCCAUGCCGCGUGCAGGAUGACUGCCCUAUGGGUUGUAAACUGCUUUUGUCCAGGAAUAACCCCAGGUACGUGUACCUGGCUGAAUGUACUGGAAGAAUAAGGAUCGGCUAACUCCGUGCCAGCAGCCGCGGUAAUACGGAGGAUCCGAGCGUUAUCCGGAUUUAUUGGGUUUAAAGGGUGCGUAGGCGGCCCAUUAAGUCAGGGGUGAAAUACGGUGGCUCAACCAUCGCAGUGCCUUUGAUACUGAUGGGCUUGAAUCCAUUUGAAGUGGGCGGAAUAAGACAAGUAGCGGUGAAAUGCAUAGAUAUGUCUUAGAACUCCGAUUGCGAAGGCAGCUCACUAAGCUGGUAUUGACGCUGAUGCACGAAAGCGUGGGGAUCGAACAGGAUUAGAUACCCUGGUAGUCCACGCCCUAAACGAUGAUAACUCGAUGUUGGCGAUAGACAGCCAGCGUCCCAGCGAAAGCGUUAAGUUAUCCACCUGGGGAGUACGCCCGCAAGGGUGAA
Molecule: ribosomal RNA, 847 nt
Filed under: Sphingobacterium mucilaginosum
Lineage: Bacteria; Pseudomonadati; Bacteroidota; Sphingobacteriia; Sphingobacteriales; Sphingobacteriaceae
Description: bacterial SSU rRNA
Rfam family: Bacterial small subunit ribosomal RNA
Source: RNAcentral